Gallus gallus (chicken) is the source of this 695-nucleotide long non-coding RNA. Lineage: Eukaryota; Metazoa; Chordata; Aves; Galliformes; Phasianidae. The record is from Ensembl.
CUCCUCUUUUGCUUCUCACAGUUUACACUUUCCUGACCUGACAAUAUCUUGUUUUCUUCUUCUAAUUUACUACUGUUUUCCUGUAUGUUAAAUGUACAGAUAGUUGUUUUUUCACAUUUUUUCCAAUUGAAAAUUUAAAAGGACUUUGAGAUCAUAGAAAGGUUCCUUAAAAGGGGAAAUGAGCAAUUUGAGAAGGAAUCACUGAAGCUCUAUGUUGACCAACUUCAUAUAGGUGAAUCAAAACAGGAUAUCCACACUCAGCCCUCUGAGUGGUUUAAAGGCUGAGACCUGGGACUCUUCAGCCUGGAGAAAACUGAGAGGUGAUCUUAUCAAUGCUUAUAAAUAUCAAAAGGGCACAACUCCAGUGGAUGGGGCCAGGCUCUUUUCGACAGUGCCUAGCAACAGAAUAAGGGCCAGUGGGCACAAACUGGAACACAGGAAGUUCCAUACAAACACAAGGAAAAACCUCUUUCCUCUGAAGGUGACAGAAUACUGGAACAGGCUGCCCAGAGAGGUUGUGGAGUCUCCUUCUUUGGAGAUAUUUACCUGGACACUUUCCUCUGCAACCUCCUCUAGGGAACCUCAUUCAGCAGGGACUUGGACUAGAUGAUCUCCAGAGGUCUCUUCCAACUUCUGUGGUUCUGUAAUUCUGUGACUGUGAUCGUCAUCCUAUUGAAAGAAAUAAAACUACUUCU